This 236-nucleotide ribosomal RNA is filed under the name uncultured bacterium. RNAcentral's name for it is "partial 16S ribosomal RNA". It matches the Rfam family "Bacterial small subunit ribosomal RNA", at positions 86 to 339 of the family's 1533-position model. The record is from RNAcentral.
UCGGACUUAGCGGCGGACGGGUGAGUAACGCGUGGGAACAUACCCUUUGGUACGGAAUAGCCUCGGGAAACUGGGAGUAAUACCGUAUGUGCCCUUCGGGGGAAAGAUUUAUCGCCAAAAGAUGAGCCCGCAUUUGAUUAGCUAGUUGGUGAGGUAAAAGCUCACCAAGGCGAUAAUCAAUAGCUGAUUUGAGAGGACGAUCAGCCACACUGGAACUGAGACACGGUCCAGACUCC